Molecule: ribosomal RNA, 465 nt
Filed under: uncultured bacterium
Lineage: Bacteria
Description: partial 16S ribosomal RNA
Rfam family: Bacterial small subunit ribosomal RNA
Source: RNAcentral
GACGAACGCUGGCGGCGUGCUUAACACAUGCAAGUCGAACGGAAAGGCCCUGCUUGCAGGGUACUCGAGUGGCGAACGGGUGAGUAACACGUGGGUGAUCUGCCCUGCACUUCGGGAUAAGCCUGGGAAACUGGGUCUAAUACCGGAUAGGAGCCAUUUUUAUUGUGAUGGUUGGAAAGUUUUUUCGGUGUAGGAUGAGCUCGCGGCCUAUCAGCUUGUUGGUGGGGUAAUGGCCUACCAAGGCGGCGACGGGUAGCCGGCCUGGGAGGGUGGACGGCCAAAUUGGGACUGAGAUACGGCCCAGACUCCUACGGGAGGCAGCAGUGGGGAAUAAUGCAAAAUGGGCGCAAGCCUGAUGCAGCGACGCCGCGUGGGGGAUGACGGGCUUCGGGUUGUAAACUCCUUUCGCUAGGGACGAAGCUUUUUGUGACGGUACCUAGAUAAGAAGCACCGGCUAACUACGUG